AGAGUUUGAUCCUGGCUCAGAGCGAACGCUGGCGGCAGGCCUAACACAUGCAAGUCGAGCGCCCGUAGCAAUACGGGAGCGGCAGACGGGAGAGUAACACGUGGGAACGCGCCCUUCGGUUCGGAAUAACUCAGGGAAACUUGAGCUAAUACCGGAUACGCCCUUACGGGGAAAGAUUUAUUGCCGAAGGAACGGCCCGCGUCCGAUUAGCUAGUUGGUGAGGUAACGGCUCACCAAGGCGACGAUCCGUAGCUGGUCUAAGAGGAUGAUCAGCCUCACUGGGACUGAGACACGGCCCAGACUCCUACGGGAGGCAGCAGUGAGGAAUUUUCCGCAAUGGGCGAAAGCCUGACGGAGCGACGCCGCGUGUGGGAAGAAGGCCUUCGGGUCGUAAACCACUGUCGAAGGGGACGAUAAUGACGGUACCCUUGGAGGAAGCCCCGGCUAACUACGUGCCAGCAGCCGCGGUAAUAACCUAAAUAGC
This 484-nucleotide ribosomal RNA is filed under the name uncultured bacterium. RNAcentral describes it as "bacterial SSU rRNA". It matches the Rfam family "Bacterial small subunit ribosomal RNA", at positions 8 to 535 of the family's 1533-position model. The record is from RNAcentral.